Molecule: long non-coding RNA, 464 nt
Organism: Hevea brasiliensis (rubber tree)
Lineage: Eukaryota; Viridiplantae; Streptophyta; Magnoliopsida; Malpighiales; Euphorbiaceae
Exons: 4
Source: RefSeq, a predicted model, not a curated record
AAAGAAAAAAAAAAAAUUAAAACACAAAUCUUCUUCUUCAAAAAAACGUCACUCUCUCUCUCCCACACCAAAACCACCAUGAAAGCUCAUUUUUGAGCUUGAAGAACCAAAAUCCAACCAUGGCCAAUUGUCCUACCAUAACUAGAUGUUGUUUGGACAACUAGGAAAGAGGAUUCAAAGAAAAGAAAGAAGAAAAAUUUGAAGAAAAGGGAGAAGAAAUUCUGCACACAAGUUGAAAAGAAUAUCGGGAAGGAAUCCGAGGAAACGAGUCGAGGCUAAGGGACGACUCGCUUGAGAUAAAAGCAAGGAGAAAGCAGCAGAGUGAGCUGCGGAAUUGACAAGAUCUUUUUGAUCCCUUUUUGUACGGGAAGUAGAAAAUUGUGAAAAACGGAAUGGAAGGAGGAGAUCAUUCCGAAGAACAAUCUGUUGAGGCUGAGGUUCAAGGGGAAGCCCCAGCACUCCAG